RNAcentral lists this ribosomal RNA (253 nucleotides) under uncultured bacterium. Its description in RNAcentral is "partial 16S ribosomal RNA". It matches the Rfam family "Bacterial small subunit ribosomal RNA", at positions 524 to 776 of the family's 1533-position model. The record is from RNAcentral.
UACGUAGGGGGCUAGCGUUGUCCGGAUUUAUUGGGCGUAAAGAGCGUGUAGGCGGCCAGGUAGGUCUGGUGUGAAAACUCGAGGCUCAACCUCGAGACGUCGAUGGAAACCAUCUGGCUAGAGUCCGGAAGAGGAGAGUGGAAUUCCUGGUGUAGCGGUGAAAUGCGCAGAUAUCAGGAAGAACACCUAUGGCGAAGGCAGCUCUCUGGGACGGUACUGACGCUGAGACGCGAAAGCGUGGGGAGCGAACAGG